Molecule: non-coding RNA, 45 nt
Organism: Schistosoma rodhaini
Lineage: Eukaryota; Metazoa; Platyhelminthes; Trematoda; Strigeidida; Schistosomatidae
Source: Rfam
AUCCAGCUGACGAAUCGCAAAUAAGACGAAAGGUACGUCCUGGAU